This is a non-coding RNA of Pelobates cultripes (western spadefoot toad), 436 nucleotides long. NCBI's taxonomy places the organism in Eukaryota, Metazoa, Chordata, Amphibia, Anura, Pelobatidae. The record is from the annotation of a GenBank genome assembly.
AUUGGACUGGCAGAAUGGUGUUAAUCUAUUGGGCCUUUGUCUAGUUAGUGUGCUAUCUAGAUGCUAGCUGCAAUGAUUGAGGGGAUUAUGAGCAAGUAAAUACUAGUUUUUCAUAUCAUGAAACUGAGUGGGGAAAACGAGGGCAUGGGGUAUUAACUAUGUACAUCUGGAAGGUCGAUUGAGUGUUAUGGUAAUGAUGACAAGGUGUGUGGUGUGUAGUGCAGGAAAGCGUAAAAGGGAAGGAGUACAGCAAGGGUGAAAAGAAGACAGACAGUCCAAGAGGGCCCCUGGCUGGGAGCCGAAGUGUAACCGCAGGGUGGAGGAAAAAUGCGUAGAAGUGGACGUUGGCCAGUCCAAUGUGAUAUUACUGUAAAUCAAAAAAGGGGAUCGUCUUUUAAGGGUAGGUUGCAAUAGUGUGUUACUGCCCACUAUCAAU